Molecule: non-coding RNA, 29 nt
Filed under: Mus musculus (house mouse)
Lineage: Eukaryota; Metazoa; Chordata; Mammalia; Rodentia; Muridae
Source: RNAcentral
UCUGGUGGUCCAGUGUUUGAGAGAUUUCA